This 450-nucleotide ribosomal RNA is filed under the name uncultured bacterium. RNAcentral describes it as "partial 16S ribosomal RNA". It matches the Rfam family "Bacterial small subunit ribosomal RNA", at positions 354 to 796 of the family's 1533-position model. The record is from RNAcentral.
GUGGGGAAUUUUGGACAAUGGGCGCAAGCCUGAUCCAGCAAUGCCGCGUGCAGGAAGAAGGCCUUCGGGUUGUAAACUGCUUUUGUACGGAACGAAACGGUCCGGGUUAAUACCCUGGGCUAAUGACGGUACCGUAAGAAUAAGCACCGGCUAACUACGUGCCAGCAGCCGCGGUAAUACGUAGGGUGCAAGCGUUAAUCGGAAUUACUGGGCGUAAAGCGUGCGCAGGCGGUUUUGUAAGACAGGCGUGAAAUCCCCGGGCUCAACCUGGGAAUUGCGCUUGUGACUGCACGGCUGGAGUGCGGCAGAGGGGGAUGGAAUUCCGCGUGUAGCAGUGAAAUGCGUAGAUAUGCGGAGGAACACCGAUGGCGAAGGCAAUCCCCUGGGCCUGCACUGACGCUCAUGCACGAAAGCGUGGGGAGCAAACAGGAUUAGAAACCCGAGUAGUCC